This is a long non-coding RNA of Drosophila pseudoobscura, 1180 nucleotides long. RefSeq lists it as uncharacterized. The record is from RefSeq and is a predicted model, not a curated record. The transcript is spliced from 3 exons. Lineage: Eukaryota; Metazoa; Arthropoda; Insecta; Diptera; Drosophilidae.
CAAAUUGUUCUUGGCUAUUUGUUGAUUAUUUUUCCUGGGGAUUUUCUAAUAUUUUCCUAAAUUACGUAUACAAUUUUACAGUCAUGCUGCAUCAGCAGCAGGCGUACCAGCUGUUGUCCGGGCAUCCGUGUGGGGCAGAGAGUGGACAAAGCUCUGAGGUGGAGUACAUGCAACGGAGUUGACUACAUUAUUUAUACAUUAUCGCAAGAGACGCCAAUGAGGAGGCCAAUGGGUCACAUCUUAGACACACCUACACAAUCGCAGCAGCCCCGCCUGUCGAGGACGCAAAACAAGUGCGUCUUGGAACGUCGAACGGGGUAUCCACAAGCAGUUCUCGCUUCGUUCGGCGAAUGUGGUUCACAGCCGCAGCUCCUGUUGCUGCUCGUGCAACGAUUCGUUGACUCUGUUUGGAUCCCUGUGGAGCUGCCCUGGUUGAUCCCACAGUGGUUGCUGUUACUGUGUUUUUCUGAUAGCCAGGGAAAGGGAACGCCUCUGGUGGGGGGAAAACGUAUGCCAUGUGAUCUAAUCGGCAGCAGUGAAUGUUUCAAUGGAUAAUACCAACAAUACCGGAUAAAUCUUAUCCGAAUAUCAGAGGCUAUACAUCCAAAGGGGGAGUAGAGUAGCGUCGGACACAGGCAAUCAUUUUUGUGUGUAUUUCUGAAACGAAUUCCUUUUAGUGGCCACAUUUGCUAACGGACUAACAGCAAAAACAGAGAUAUCCUUAUGGGGAAAAGCAUGCAGUGAGAUCAAGAGAAAUAUGUGCGUCAGCUUGGCUUUCCAGUUGAGCUGGGAGCAUCGGUGCAGCAGAAAUGAUUGAUUGUUACACUGUUUAAUCAAAUUUAGCUUUCUGGCUGUUUAGCCCAUAGUCUCACCAACGCGGUCUUGUAUGAGCAAUUGCAAUUCCGACUUGGGCGUCUUUUUCCCACUUAAUAUUAAAGGGCUUUACAAUUUAAAUAAAGACUUUAAUAUGAUUUCAACACGACAUCCAAAUAGCUAAUAUAUCUAUGUUAAAUCUAAGAUCUUUAGGAUAAAGUGCGAAACAUGUUUAAUCAUGUCACAAUCCACAUAUUAAUCAAAAAAGUUACUACAAUUAAAAUAGCACCAAGACAAAACCUCGUUUCUCGACUUAAUCACAACGGUACUCGAAACAGUUGCCUUGAUACAAGUGUCAGCUUGACGA